CCUUUGUUGCCAGCGAUUAGGUCGGGAACUCAAAGGAGACUGCCAGUGAUAAACUGGAGGAAGGUGGGGAUGACGUCAAGUCAUCAUGGCCCUUACGACCAGGGCUACACACGUGCUACAAUGGCGCAUACAAAGAGAAGCGACCUCGCGAGAGCAAGCGGACCUCAUAAAGUGCGUCGUAGUCCGGAUUGGAGUCUGCAACUCGACUCCAUGAAGUCGGAAUCGCUAGUAAUCGUGGAUCAGAAUGCCACGGUGAAUACGUUCCCGGGCCUUGUACACACCGCCCGUCACACCAUGGGAGUGGGUUGCAAAAGAAGUAGGUAGCUUAACCUUCGGGAGGGCGCUUACCACUUUGUGAUUCAUGACUGGGGUGAAGUCGUAACAAGGUAACCGUAGGGGAACCUGCGGUUGGA
This 413-nucleotide ribosomal RNA is filed under the name Salmonella enterica. RNAcentral describes it as "bacterial SSU rRNA". It matches the Rfam family "Bacterial small subunit ribosomal RNA", at positions 1109 to 1522 of the family's 1533-position model. Lineage: Bacteria; Pseudomonadati; Pseudomonadota; Gammaproteobacteria; Enterobacterales; Enterobacteriaceae. The record is from RNAcentral. RNAcentral also lists the same sequence under 3 other names.